GACGAACGCUGGCGGCGUGCUUAACACAUGCAAGUCGAACGGAAAGGCCCUGCUUUUGUGGGGUGCUCGAGUGGCGAACGGGUGAGUAACACGUGAGUAACCUGCCCUUGACUUUGGGAUAACUUCAGGAAACUGGGGCUAAUACCGGAUAGGAGCUCCUGCUGCAUGGUGGGGGUUGGAAAGUUUCGGCGGUUGGGGAUGGACUCGCGGCUUAUCAGCUUGUUGGUGGGGUAGUGGCUUACCAAGGCUUUGACGGGUAGCCGGCCUGAGAGGGUGACCGGCCACAUUGGGACUGAGAUACGGCACAGACUCCUACGGGAGGCAGCAGUGGGGAAUAUUGCACAAUGGGCGGAAGCCUGAUGCAGGAACGCCGCGUGCGGGAUGACGGCCUUCGGGUUGUAAACCGCUUUCGCCUGUGACGAAGCGUGAGUGACGGUAAUGGGUAAAGAAGCACCGGCUAACUACGUG
RNAcentral lists this ribosomal RNA (468 nucleotides) under uncultured bacterium. RNAcentral describes it as "partial 16S ribosomal RNA". It matches the Rfam family "Bacterial small subunit ribosomal RNA", at positions 28 to 507 of the family's 1533-position model. The record is from RNAcentral.